This 253-nucleotide ribosomal RNA is filed under the name uncultured bacterium. RNAcentral describes it as "partial 16S ribosomal RNA". It matches the Rfam family "Bacterial small subunit ribosomal RNA", at positions 524 to 776 of the family's 1533-position model. The record is from RNAcentral.
UACGUAGGGUCCGAGCGUUGUCCGGAGUUACUGGGCGUAAAGAGCGCGCAGGCGGUCGUUCAAGUCGCGUGUGAAAGCCCCCGGCUCAACUGGGGAGGGUCACGCGAUACUGAUCGACUCGAAGGCAGGAGAGGGUAGUGGAAUUCCCGGUGUAGUGGUGAAAUGCGUAGAUAUCGGGAGGAACACCAGUGGCGAAGGCGACUACCUGGCCUGUUCUUGACGCUGAGGCGCGAAAGCUAGGGGAGCAAACGGG